Molecule: ribosomal RNA, 517 nt
Filed under: Babesia capreoli
Lineage: Eukaryota; Apicomplexa; Aconoidasida; Piroplasmida; Babesiidae
Description: SSU rRNA
Rfam family: Eukaryotic small subunit ribosomal RNA
Source: RNAcentral
CUCACCAGAGUAACAAUUGGAGGGCAAGUCUGGUGCCAGCAGCCGCGGUAAUUCCAGCUCCAAUAGCGUAUAUUAAACUUGUUGCAGUUAAAAAGCUCGUAGUUGAAUUUUUGCGUGGUGUUAAUGUUGACUGAUGUCGAGAUUGCACUUCGCUUUUGGGAUUUUUCCCUUUUUACUUUGAGAAAAUUAGAGUGUUUCAAGCAGACUUUUGUCUUGAAUACUUCAGCAUGGAAUAAUAGAGUAGGACUUUGGUUCUAUUUUGUUGGUUUGUGAACCUUAGUAAUGGUUAAUAGGAACGGUUGGGGGCAUUCGUAUUUAACUGUCAGAGGUGAAAUUCUUAGAUUUGUUAAAGACGAACUACUGCGAAAGCAUUUGCCAAGGACGUUUUCAUUAAUCAAGAACGAAAGUUAGGGGAUCGAAGACGAUCAGAUACCGUCGUAGUCCUAACCAUAAACUAUGCCGACUAGGGAUUGGAGGUCGUCAUUUUUCCGACUCCUUCAGCACCUUGAGAGAAAUC